RNAcentral lists this ribosomal RNA (222 nucleotides) under uncultured bacterium. RNAcentral describes it as "partial 16S ribosomal RNA". It matches the Rfam family "Bacterial small subunit ribosomal RNA", at positions 109 to 334 of the family's 1533-position model. The record is from RNAcentral.
AGUAAUGUAUGGGGAUCUACCCGAUAGAGGGGGAUAACUACUGGAAACGGUGGCUAAUACCGCAUAAUGUCUACGGACCAAAGCAGGGGCUCUUCGGACCUUGCACUAUCGGAUGAACCCAUAUGGGAUUAGCUAGUAGGUGGGGUAAAGGCUCACCUAGGCGACGAUCUCUAGCUGGUCUGAGAGGAUGAUCAGCCACACUGGGACUGAGACACGGCCCAG